This 63-nucleotide signal recognition particle RNA is filed under the name Gammaproteobacteria bacterium. RNAcentral's name for it is "partial signal recognition particle sRNA small type". It matches the Rfam family "Bacterial small signal recognition particle RNA", at positions 1 to 63 of the family's 97-position model. Rfam says of the family: The signal recognition particle (SRP) is a universally conserved ribonucleoprotein involved in the co-translational targeting of proteins to membranes. The record is from RNAcentral. Lineage: Bacteria; Pseudomonadati; Pseudomonadota; Gammaproteobacteria.
CUUUGGUCCCCUCGCGGCGAUAAAUUGUGAACUCCGCCAGGCCCGGAAGGGAGCAACGGUAAC